This 460-nucleotide ribosomal RNA is filed under the name uncultured bacterium. RNAcentral describes it as "partial 16S ribosomal RNA". It matches the Rfam family "Bacterial small subunit ribosomal RNA", at positions 338 to 795 of the family's 1533-position model. The record is from RNAcentral.
CCUACGGGAGGCUGCAGUGAGGAAUAUUGGUCAAUGGGCGUAAGCCUGAACCAGCCAAGUCGCGUGAGGGAUGAAGGUUCUACGGAUCGUAAACCUCUUUUAUAAGGGAAUAAAGUGCGGCACGUGUGCCGUUUUGUAUGUACCUUAUGAAUAAGGAUCGGCUAACUCCGUGCCAGCAGCCGCGGUAAUACGGAGGAUCCGAGCGUUAUCCGGAUUUAUUGGGUUUAAAGGGUGCGUAGGCGGCGUUUUAAGUCAGCGGUGAAAGUUUGUGGCUCAACCGUAAAAUUGCCGUUGAUACUGGGAGGCUUGAGUAUGUUUGAGGCAGGCGGAAUGCGUGGUGUAGCGGUGAAAUGCUUAGAUAUCACGCAGAACCCCGAUUGCGAAGGCAGCCUGCUAAGCCGUGACUGACGCUGAUGCACGAAAGCGUGGGGAUCAAACAGGAUUAGAUACCCGUGUAGUC